Molecule: long non-coding RNA, 150 nt
Organism: Drosophila sulfurigaster albostrigata
Lineage: Eukaryota; Metazoa; Arthropoda; Insecta; Diptera; Drosophilidae
Exons: 2
Source: RefSeq, a predicted model, not a curated record
GUGCCUAAAGAAGAGGAAGUGGAAAUUAUGACAGAAUAUCUACGUUAUCGAAAUAAUGACAGGGGAUUGCGGCCCUAAAAAAGAAGACAAUUUCUUUGGUGUUAUGAUCGAUUCAAUAACUGAGGACCAGUUGAGAAAGGCCUUGCAGCU